This 1145-nucleotide ribosomal RNA is filed under the name Salmonella enterica. RNAcentral's name for it is "partial 23S ribosomal RNA". It matches the Rfam family "Bacterial large subunit ribosomal RNA", at positions 711 to 1772 of the family's 2925-position model. The record is from RNAcentral. Lineage: Bacteria; Pseudomonadati; Pseudomonadota; Gammaproteobacteria; Enterobacterales; Enterobacteriaceae. RNAcentral also lists the same sequence under 1 other name.
AGACCCGAAACCCGGUGAUCUAGCCAUGGGCAGGUUGAAGGUUGGGUAACACUAACUGGAGGACCGAACCGACUAAUGUUGAAAAAUUAGCGGAUGACCUGUGGCUGGGGGUGAAAGGCCAAUCAAACCGGGAGAUAGCUGGUUCUCCCCGAAAGCUAUUUAGGUAGCGCCUCGUGAAUUCAUCUCCGGGGGUAGAGCACUGUUUCGGCUAGGGGGCCAUCCCGGCUUACCAACCCGAUGCAAACUGCGAAUACCGGAGAAUGUUAUCACGGGAGACACACGGCGGGUGCUAACGUCCGUCGUGAAGAGGGAAACAACCCAGACCGCCAGCUAAGGUCCCAAAGUCAUGGUUAAGUGGGAAACGAUGUGGGAAGGCCCAGACAGCCAGGAUGUUGGCUUAGAAGCAGCCAUCAUUUAAAGAAAGCGUAAUAGCUCACUGGUCGAGUCGGCCUGCGCGGAAGAUGUAACGGGGCUAAACCAUGCACCGAAGCUGCGGCAGCGAACGUAUCACCCAAGACAACUUUACGGAGUUGACGAUUGACGGAGCGAAGCGACGUCAAAGCGUUCAUUAAAGUCGAGUUGGCUUAGGGAUACGUUCGUUGGGUAGGGGAGCGUUCUGUAAGCCUGUGAAGGUGUGUCGUGAGGCAUGCUGGAGGUAUCAGAAGUGCGAAUGCUGACAUAAGUAACGAUAAAGCGGGUGAAAAGCCCGCUCGCCGGAAGACCAAGGGUUCCUGUCCAACGUUAAUCGGGGCAGGGUGAGUCGACCCCUAAGGCGAGGCCGAAAGGCGUAGUCGAUGGGAAACGGGUUAAUAUUCCCGUACUUGGUGUUACUGCGAAGGGGGGACGGAGAAGGCUAUGUUGGCCGGGCGACGGUUGUCCCGGUUUAAGCGUGUAGGUGUGUGUUCCAGGUAAAUCCGGUUCACUUUAACACUGAGGCGUGACGACGAGGCACUACGGUGCUGAAGCAACAAAUGCCCUGCUUCCAGGAAAAGCCUCUAAGCAUCAGGUAACACGAAAUCGUACCCCAAACCGACACAGGUGGUCAGGUAGAGAAUACCAAGGCGCUUGAGAGAACUCGGGUGAAGGAACUAGGCAAAAUGGUGCCGUAACUUCGGGAGAAGGCACGCUGACACGUAGGUGAAGUG